This 312-nucleotide ribosomal RNA is filed under the name uncultured prokaryote. Its description in RNAcentral is "bacterial SSU rRNA". It matches the Rfam family "Bacterial small subunit ribosomal RNA", at positions 505 to 818 of the family's 1533-position model. The record is from RNAcentral.
GUGUCAGCCGCCGCGGUAAUACGGAGGGUGCAAGCGUUAUCCGGAUUUAUUGGGCGUAAAGAGCUCGUAGGCGGUUUGUCGCGUCUGCCGUGAAAGUCCGAGGCUCAACCUCGGAUCUGCGGUGGGUACGGGCAGACUAGAGUGAUGUAGGGGAGACUGGAAUUCCUGGUGUAGCGGUGAAAUGCGCAGAUAUCAGGAGGAACACCGAUGGCGAAGGCAGGUCUCUGGGCAUUUACUGACGCUGAGGAGCGAAAGCAUGGGGAGCGAACAGGAUUAGAUACCCCUGUAGUCCAUUAGAUACCCUCGUAGUCC